This is a long non-coding RNA of Passer domesticus (house sparrow), 534 nucleotides long. RefSeq lists it as uncharacterized. The transcript is spliced from 3 exons. The record is from RefSeq and is a predicted model, not a curated record. Lineage: Eukaryota; Metazoa; Chordata; Aves; Passeriformes; Passeridae.
GUGGGCCUGUGCAAACAUUGUGGAGGUCAAAACGACCAAAUGAAAAGUUCUGCAGUGAAAGCCUCAAUAUCAAUCCAGACUGAGACAGGAAUGCAUUGAAAACAGUCCUGAGGAGAAGCUCUUGGGGAUACUAGUGGACAAAGAGUUGUACAUGUGUACCUGCAGGCCAGAAAACCACCUGUGUCCUGGGCUGCAUCAGAAGAAGCAUGGCCAGAAGUUUGAGGGAGAACCUUGGAGAAAGUGGAGAAAUUAAGCAAGCAUCUUUGCACACAGUGAGAAGAGUAGUCUCAUGAGGGAGCAGCAAGGGCAGCCUGCUUCAUGAAGGGAGGCAAGAUGAGAGUCAAAAAUGAAACCAGAUGGGUCAAGCAGUGAUCUCACUGUUAGGAAUCAACAAGGUGCACUGGAAAAAGGUUCUUCAAUUACAAUCAAAUGGAUGCACAAAAGCUUAAUUUCACCAGGAUCAUAGCAGCGAUCCAGCAUGAUGAACUCUAACCCUUCCUUGGUUUGUGACAUCUUAACUCAUUGAUUGACUCU